Molecule: ribosomal RNA, 274 nt
Filed under: uncultured bacterium
Lineage: Bacteria
Description: partial 16S ribosomal RNA
Rfam family: Bacterial small subunit ribosomal RNA
Source: RNAcentral
AUACGGAGGGUGCAAGCGUUAUUCGGAAUCACUGGGCGUAAAGGACGCGUAGGCGGGUUGGCAAGUCAGAUGUGAAAUCCUACAGCUUAACUGUAGAACUGCAUUUGAAACUGCUAACCUAGAGUAUGGGAGGGGGAGAUGGAAUUAGUGGUGUAGGGGUAAAAUCCGUAGAUAUCACUAGGAAUACCGAAAGCGAAGGCGAUCUCCUGGAACAUAACUGACGCUAAGGCGUGAAAGCGUGGGGUGCAAACAGGAUUAGAAACCCUAGUAGUCC